UCCGUAGGUGAACCUGCGGAGGGAUCAUUACAGAGUCGCAACACUCCGUAAACCAUUGUGAACGUUACCUUAACCGUUGCUUCGGCGGGCGGCGCCCGGGCCUCACCGCCCGCGGCGCCCCCCGGCCCCCCGUGGGCGCCCGCCGGAGGUACACCAAACUCUUGCAUUGUAUGGCCUCUCUGAGUAUUCUGUACUGAAUAAGUCAAAACUUUCAACAACGGAUCUCUUGGUUCUGGCAUCGAUGAAGAACGCAGCGAAAUGCGAUAAGUAAUGUGAAUUGCAGAAUUCAGUGAAUCAUCGAAUCUUUGAACGCACAUUGCGCCCGCCAGUAUUCUGGCGGGCAUGCCUGUUCGAGCGUCAUUUCAACCAUCAAGCCCCCGGGCUUGUGUUGGGGACCUGCGGCUGCCGCAGGCCCCGAAAACCAGUGGCGGGCUCGCUGUCACCCCGAGCGUAGUAGUUUACACCUCGCCCAGGGCGUGCCGCGGGUUUCCCGGCCGUUAAACCCCCCAUACCACAAGGUUGACCUCGGACCAGGUAGGAAGACCCGCUGAACUUAAGCAUAUCAAUAAGCGGAGG
RNAcentral lists this ribosomal RNA (576 nucleotides) under fungal sp. ARIZ L488cla. RNAcentral describes it as "eukaryotic LSU rRNA". The stretch from base 207 to 360 matches the Rfam family "5.8S ribosomal RNA". The record is from RNAcentral. Lineage: Eukaryota; Fungi.